AAAAAGCAUUUCAAACUAACAGUGAUGGGCACUCAAUCACUGAAAAAAUCUCAGUCAACUGAUGCAAUUACGGACUAAAAGAGGGAAAAUAAGUUAGAUGUUGUGAGAUCGAAAGAGAAAACACGAACGCAAGAGAGC
Non-coding RNA from Caenorhabditis elegans, 138 nucleotides. Lineage: Eukaryota; Metazoa; Nematoda; Chromadorea; Rhabditida; Rhabditidae. The record is from Ensembl.